GAUCAUGGCUCAGGAUGAACGCUAGCUACAGGCUUAACACAUGCAAGUCGAGGGGCAGCAUGAACUUAGCUUGCUAAGUUUGAUGGCGACCGGCGCACGGGUGAGUAACACGUAUCCAACCUGCCGAUGACUCGGGGAUAGCCUUUCGAAAGAAAGAUUAAUACCCGAUGGCAUAAUUCUUCCGCAUGGUAGAACUAUUAAAGAUUCAUCGGUAACGGAUGGGGAUGCGUUCCA
This 234-nucleotide ribosomal RNA is filed under the name uncultured bacterium. Its description in RNAcentral is "partial 16S ribosomal RNA". It matches the Rfam family "Bacterial small subunit ribosomal RNA", at positions 15 to 240 of the family's 1533-position model. The record is from RNAcentral.